Molecule: long non-coding RNA, 630 nt
Filed under: Lupinus angustifolius (narrow-leaved blue lupine)
Lineage: Eukaryota; Viridiplantae; Streptophyta; Magnoliopsida; Fabales; Fabaceae
Description: long non-coding RNA (LANG_LNC003197)
Source: RNAcentral
ACAAAUGGAAUUUUAUUUAAUCAAUUAACUUCUUGUGUAAUCAAUUAACUCUAUGAAAAGUGAUUUUCUAAUGCAAGGUAAAACCUUCUAUGCGAUGUAUGCAUAUACAAAGUAUUAUGUCAAAAGAAGUUAUAGUUUUUUUUGCAAUAAAAUCAAUGCAUACUACCUAUUAUGAAUGGAAGAAGGACUUUCAUAUUUUAAUUAUACUUAAUUUUAGCUUUGUGAGAUUCUCAUCCCCGGUUUACCUAACAUAGACUCGAACUAAGCAGUCAUCUUAGAACUCUAAAAACACAAAAUAAUUUCCUAAUUCUAGUUGACCUUGAGUCUUCGGCUUGUUGUUCGUUGAGUUGAAUCAAUCUUCAAGUUUUCCUCAAAUCUUUGUCUUCAUCAAAAGUACUAGAAGAUCAGACUUGAAAACUUUGACUCAUCUUGCAAUAUUAAUCUCUCCAUUUUUAAUGAUGACAAACACCACAUGUUUUGAAGAUUGAUUUGCUUGAUCAACAACUUCCUUUGCCAGAUUGCAAAUUUUGGGCAUUGCUCCCCCUAACUUCAUGAAUGAUGAUAAUGUCGGAAUAUUUUUCUCCUCCAUUGAGUAGAUACGAAAGCAGCAUAACAACCUGCAACACUACA